RNAcentral lists this long non-coding RNA (590 nucleotides) under Ananas comosus (pineapple). Its description in RNAcentral is "long non-coding RNA (ACOM_LNC006920)". Lineage: Eukaryota; Viridiplantae; Streptophyta; Magnoliopsida; Poales; Bromeliaceae. The record is from RNAcentral.
CAUAUACAUAUACAUAUACAUAUACAUACAUAUACAUAUACAAACAUAUAUACAUAUACAUAUAGAGUUGAGCUAGAAUAUUAUCGAUAGCAAACGGGCUCCAUUGGCACCCAUUUGUUUUCGAUGAUGGAGUUUCCAAAUCAACGAUCGGCACCGUUGAACAUGAUCUAUACCACUUGAAGUAUUUAGAAAUCAAAUUUCAUACAUUUCGAUAUUGUUCUCUUGUCCAUCAAGUGAAUAGAAAAAUAAAUGGCAGGAAAUGAAUAUCCUUCAAAAAGUGAUGAUACAAUUUUUAUAUUUGAGAUCUAGAGUCUAGAUCUUAUUUUAAAUAGUUUAAAGAAUUUUUUAACAAAAAUUUAGUUGAUUUGAACUCUUCGAUACUGUUAAACGAGCAAACGCACCAUAUCGGCCAUUAAAAUUAUAGAUUUUGUGACCCUUUGAUCGUUCAGUUAGUGAUGCCAGAAAAUCAUGAAAUUUGAUUUCUAGAUAAUUUAAAUGGUCUAAAUCAUGUUCAAUGGUGCCGAUCAUUGAUUUGGAAGCUCUAUCAUCAAAAACAAAUCGGUAGUAAACCGAGCAGUUUACUACUGAUA